RNAcentral lists this ribosomal RNA (497 nucleotides) under uncultured bacterium. Its description in RNAcentral is "partial 16S ribosomal RNA". It matches the Rfam family "Bacterial small subunit ribosomal RNA", at positions 28 to 507 of the family's 1533-position model. The record is from RNAcentral.
GAUGAACGCUGGCGGCGUGCCUAAUACAUGCAAGUCGAGCGAACGGACGAGAAGCGUGGGUCGCUGAUGUUAGCGGCGGGCGGGUGAGUAACACGUGGCUAACCUACCUCUAAGGCAUAAAUCAGGGCGAGAAAGCGGAACUAAGACCGGAAGAGACUUUGAACCGGAUGGUGCUGAAGUGAAAUACGGUCUUGGUGUGACUUAUAGAUGUAUCCGCGCUGCAGUAGCUAGUUGGUAAGGUAACGGCUUAACAAGGCAACGAUGCAUAGCCGACCUGAGAGGGUGAUCGGCCACACUGGAACUGAGACACGGUCCAGACUCCUACGGGAGGCAGCAGUCGGGAAUCUUCCGCAAUGGGCGAAAGCAUGACGGAGCAACGCCGCGUGAGUGAUGACGGUCUUCGGAUCGUAAAACUCUGUUAUUAGGGAAGAACAUAUGUGUAAGUAACUGUGCACAUCUUGACGGUACCUAAUCAGAAAGCCACGGCUAACUACGUG